ACAAGCCCCCUUCCGUUCUCUGUGUCCACGAGCUGCUCCUCCAGACUAUUCAACCAAGUUCUGGCUGUGGUUGCCCCAGGGAUACUACAAGGGCUCGACUCACUAUUCACAUGUCAUAUUGUCAGGGUUUUCCCCAAAAUAGGUAAAAUAUGCCAUAAAUCAUGUAACAAAACAUGUCACAAUUUGUCACAUUUGCAACAUUUCCAAAUGUCAGUGUCAUCUCCCUGGAAAAUAAGAGAGGCAAGUAGGUUUUUUAAAAGCUAGCCAAAAAUGGUGGUGGUCUGUGUAUUCAGAGGUGGUUCUGUGGCAGGGUUCUUUCCUGACAUGACUUACAGUACCAUUUGGGCUCUCCCAAGGCCAUAAAAAGAGGAAGAGAAAAACCUCAGGAAGAUUUGUUGUAGGCACUGAGGAUGUCCAGUGAAUAAAUGUGAAUUAUUACUGCCAGAAACUUAAUUCUACAGAGUUAGACUGGAUUGUUAGCACAUGGUCAAAAAUAAUGAAAAGGAAGACAGCCAUGGUGACAAGCAUAGCAGAAAUGAAUGGACCAAGAAAAACAACCAGGUAGUAGCUGAGCACCUGCACCUGCAAAGCAAGCACUGCCUUAAAAAUGGGAUUUGGUGUCAUCUAUACUUGUGUCCAAUUGCUAUGUUAAAAGUCUGUUCAAUUAUCAGUAAAUGAGUAAAAAUUACAGAAAGGAACCUUAUACAUCAUGAUUUUAUUAUGCCAGAUUUCUACAAUAUAAUACAAAUAUACAUAACAUUAUGGAAAGGACCUGUAUCACUCAAUAUGGGUGCAAACCUAUUUUGGGACUGACAGCGUGGUGUGAUAAGGGGAGCACUGGAUGUGGAGCCAGGAGACCUACACCUUGCCUCAGCUCUUCCCCUUUCCAGCUGGGGGACAGGUCACCUAGCCUCUCUCUUUCAAGGUGAUGGCAAGAAUACCUUUGGUCCUCACUUCUGAUGGUUAUAAUGAAGAUCAAAUGGGAGUAUGUGUGUAUUUUGCAAAGCCUUUUUUCCCUCUUCCCAAGGAAUUCCACCCAUGCCAAUGACUUUAAAAUCUUCAAAUAUCAAUUAAUGUCUCAAUUUGUCUAUUUGUGGGCUCUUUUGUAAGUCUCAGAGCUCUAUCUUUAUCUGCCUCUGGAUAUCUACACCUGGAGAGUCUUCAAGCACCUACAACCAGUAUGUCCAGUGGGAGUGGCCCUCCUUCUAAACCCUCUCAAACACUCAUUCUCACACAUGCCCAAUCCUCCCUGUACCCCUUGCUUUCUUUAGCGCAUAACACAAACACACCAUGUUGCACUGAUGUAAGCUUCUGUCAAAUCAGCCCCUUCUUUUCUAUCCAGGCUGUCACUCUCCUAGUAGCUGUAGCCUCAGAAUAAGUCUUCCCACCUCCAAUCUCUCCACUGCCUCCACCCCAAUUCAUUCUUUACAUCAAAAGGAACUUUCACAAAUGGAUACCUGAUCAUACCCCACCCUGAGCAGAACUGUGUAAUGACUUCCCAUUACCUUUGCAAUGAAGCUCAAAUACCUUAACUUGACCUACACAUGACUCAUGAACCCAUCCCAGGUGGCAUUUCCAGCCUCAUCUCCCCAACCCACAUCCCACUCCCCAAGCUGUCCAGCUCUAGCCAUACUGAACCAUUUCUUCAGAUCCACCAAACUUUCUCAAGCCUCUGUGCCUUUUCCCCUGUUCUAUCUAGCCUUCCUCCUAGUGUCAACAGAGAGACUGGUAAGUGCAUGAACUCUGGAAACUAAAUGCGUGGGUUCAGAUCUUAUCUCUAUCCAUGAUAUGAUAACUGCCUUGUUUGAGGUUCACUCAGAUGCAGACUCUGAGACAAGGACUCAAGUGCCAGCAGUUUAUUUGGAGGUUUAGGAAAUAUCAGUAGGGGAGUGGGAAAGUAAAAAGGGAAGAGAUAUCUCCCCAAUAACAAGAAUGCAAUCUAGCCAGCCACCUCUGUGCAUGGCUCACCCUUUACCCCACAAGGAUACUCUGAGAAAUAGUAAACUAAUGCUUCAUACCACCUAAGAAUUAUCCACCUGAAAACCACCUGAGAGGCAAGGUUCUUAGGUUAUUAAUACACAGUUCCUUUUUGUUCCAGCUUUAGUGAGAUAUAAUUGACAUACAACAUUGUGUAAGUUUAAGACAGACAACAUGAUUUGAUAUAUACUGUACUGCAAAAUGAUUAACAACAAUAGGGUUAGUUAACACCUCAUCACCUCACAUGAUUAACACUUUGUGUCUGUGUGUGAUGAGGAUAUGUAAGAGCUACUCUCUUAGCAAUUGUCAAGUAUGUAAUACAGUAUUGUUAACUAUAGUCAAUAUAUUGGACAUUAGAUUCCAAGAACUUAUUCAUCUUAUAACUGGAAGUUUGUACCCUUUGACCAACACUUACUCUGGUUAGGGAAGGCACUGUUAUGUCUUCCCUGCAUACACGCUUCUGCCAAAACUACCAUCCUAGGACUCAUAGCAUGUGUUACCCAUUAUUGUGGUAUUCUACACAGUAUUGCUUCUGAUCAAGGAACUCAUAUCUCAGCAAAAGAAUCAUGGAAUUCACUGGCAUGACCCUGUUACCACCAUCCUAAAGCAUCUGGCUUGACAGAACAAUGGAAUGACUUUUUGAAGAUUCAGUUACAGUGACGCAAUACCUUGCAGGGCUGGGGCAAUGUUCUUCAGGAGGCUAUGUAUGCUCUAAUUUAGCAUCUAAUACGUAGUUAUAUUUCUCCUAGAGCUGGGAUUCGUGGGUCCAGGAAUUGAGGAAUGGAAAUAGAUAUAGUACCACUCAUUAUCAGCCCUAAUCAACCUGAUAAUUAAUACAUCUAGCAAAAUUAUUGCUUCUCAUCCCUAUGACCUCCCAUCCCCAGCAGAUCUCUCUCUGCUAGUCUAAAGGUCUAGGUUUCAAAGGGAGGAAUGCUUUUACCAGGAAAUACAAUAAUGAUUUCAUUGAAGUAAAACUUAAGACUACCAUCUAGCUACUUGCUCCUUAUGGCUCUGAAUCAAGAGGCAAAGAGAGAAUUCCUGUACUGGCUGGGGAAAACCAAAUUGCUACCACACAACAACAAAAAAAAAAGGCAGUAUAUCUGAAAUACAAGUGGUCUUUUAGGAUCUCUUUUAGUACCACCAUGCCCUUUGAAACUACAACAACCCAAUUCAGGCAAGAACACUAAUGGCCCAGAUGCCUCAGAAAUAAAAAAUGUGUGUCACUUCAUCAGGCAAAGAACUACAAUAAACUAAGGUACUUGCUGAGGGCAAAGAGUAUAUGGAAUGAGUGGUGGAAGAAGGUAGCUAUAAAUACCAGCUACAACCACAUGACCAAUUACAAAAGCAAGGACUAUAAUGGUUAUAAAUACUUCUUCCUUAUUUUGUUAUGAAUAUAUUUGUAUGUGUUUUAAAAAAAUAUGUUUGUCUUCUACCCUCUCUUAUCCUUUAAUCAUCUAAGAUAAGAUGUAUUAAUUAUAGUUAACUUUAUAUCACAAUAGUUAAGUUAUAGAAUAUCAAGGAUAAAGGUGAACACACACAAGGACUCUGUAUCCUCUACUAGGAAAGGGUUAGUAUGUUUCCACUGAGUAGUUGUGUCAUUUUAGAUGGAAAUAUGACUUUGUUAUUGUCUUUUUUGGAGAUUAAGUAUGGUUUAAGGAGAUGUGUAAAGGUGCCAAGAUGACAGUAUGUGGACUGUGAUGGUCAGUUCUAUGUGUCAACCUAGCUAGGAUGUAGUCCCAAUUAUUCAAUCAAACCUUAAUCUAGAUGUUACUGUGAAAGUAUUUUGUAAAUAUAAUUAGCAUCUACAAUCAGUUGACUCUAAGUAAGGGAGAUUAUCCUAAACAAUGAGUGAUCCUGAUUCUGUCAGUUAAAUGGUUUUAAGGGCAGAAUUAAGGUUUCCCUGAAGAAGAAAUUCUGCUUGUGGCCUGAAGCUUCAGCUCAUGCCUGAGAAUUCUAGCUAGACCUUCCUGAUAGCCUGCCCUACAGACAGAUAUACAUAAACACAUUGUAUAGAUAUAUAUAUAUCUAUCUUGCUUGCACAUAACUACCUUACCAAGACGUACGAGAAACUGGUAUUGUCAUUUGCCUUCUGGGAGGGAACUUGGUGACUGGAAGAUAGGGGAGGGAAAACAUUUUUCACUGUAUACCCUUUAGUAACUGAAUUUUGAACUAUUUGAAUGUAUUCGCUAUUAAAAUGUUUUCUACUUUUUAAAAUUUUGAAGUGAUAUAAUUUCUUGAGAGAACAUGAUUCUAAUUCUCACUGGUUUUCUAUUUCCUUUUUCAUAUAUUCAGGUCUUAUCUAUGUCCACUGAGGUAGACUGCCCAAAACACAGUUUGUAAACACACAACUUUCAAACUGUGACUCCUUAAAAUCUAUCCAUAUCUUGAAAGGUUGAAUGGACAACAAUCUUAAAAGACUUUGAGAGUUGUUAUUUGCCAAACUUUGCUGCUAUAAGCAGUAUGAGGGAAUUCAUAAAAAUAAACCUGUAUAGGGAGAAUCUGCUAGUUGCUUUAACAUCAUGUAUAAAAAUAUUGUUGAGAUUCACUUUGAAAUGAGCAAAACAGGAGACAGGUGAGUGCUCAAUUGCAGCCCAAUAGGGAGCCCCAUUAUACUACAUUAUAGAGUAAUCAUUUAGUGUUUCCUGGGAUUUUAGAAUGUCAUUUGAAGCCAUGUAACAUUAUGGUGAUGCAUUGACCAGGCUCAAUUUCUGUAGUGGAAAUGGCAGAUGUUGCCAUUUUAAAAAUACACCAUUUCUGGAGUUCCCGUCGUGGUGCAGUGGUUGACGAAUCCGACUGGGGACCGUGGGGUUGCAGGUUCAAUCCAUGCCCUUGCUCAGUGAGUUGAUGAUCCAGCGUUGCCAUGAGCUGUGGUGUGGGUCGCGGACGCAGCUCGGAUCCUGCAUUGCUGUGACUCUGGCGUAGGCUGGUGGCUGCAGCUCCGGUUCGACCCCUAGCCUGGGAACCU
Molecule: long non-coding RNA, 4942 nt
Filed under: Sus scrofa (pig)
Lineage: Eukaryota; Metazoa; Chordata; Mammalia; Artiodactyla; Suidae
Description: lncRNA (ENSSSCG00000062493.1)
Source: RNAcentral